Non-coding RNA from Triticum aestivum (bread wheat), 135 nucleotides. Lineage: Eukaryota; Viridiplantae; Streptophyta; Magnoliopsida; Poales; Poaceae. The record is from Rfam.
GAUAUACUUCGUCCGUCCGGAAAUACUUGUCAUCAAAAUGGAUAAAAAGAGAUGUAUCGAGAACUAAAAUACAUCUAGAUACAUUCCCUUUUAUCCAUUUUGAUGACAAGUAUUUUUGGACGGAGGAAGUAGUUU